CGAGUAUCGGAUGUGGUCGCUGCCAGCGUAGGGAAACCGGCUGGGAGAGGAAAGUCCGGGCUUCACAGAGCAGGAUGCCUGCUAACGGCAGGUUGCGGUGACGCACAGGAAAGUGUAACAGAGAGUAGACCGCCGGCUUCGGCCGGUAAGGGUGCAAGGGCAGUGUAAGAGACUACCGCGGGCCUGGUGACAGGAACGGCAUUAUAAACCCCAUCUGAAGAAAGACCAAACAGGAAGCAUAGGGUGGCUCGUCCGCUUCCGGGUAGGUUGAUUGAGGCGUAUGGCAACAUGCGUCCUAGAUAGAUGACCACUUGAUACAUAACCCGGCUUAUUACGAUGCUCGACUU
This 347-nucleotide RNase P RNA is filed under the name Lachnospiraceae bacterium. RNAcentral describes it as "RNase P RNA component class A". It matches the Rfam family "Bacterial RNase P class A". From Rfam's summary of the family: Ribonuclease P (RNase P) is a ubiquitous endoribonuclease, found in archaea, bacteria and eukarya as well as chloroplasts and mitochondria. Its best characterised activity is the generation of mature 5'-ends of tRNAs by cleaving the 5'-leader elements of precursor-tRNAs. The record is from RNAcentral. Lineage: Bacteria; Bacillati; Bacillota; Clostridia; Lachnospirales; Lachnospiraceae.